GCUGCUCACAUUGGUCAGUGCCUCUGAGAAGGAUGAGCCCAUCAGAGGAGCCGAGCACUGCUGUACAUCACUGGCACGGGGAGGGGGAAUGACCUUGAGCUCUUGGCCAAUGAAUUUUUAGGAAGAUGAACUGAAUAACAUUUCCAUAAAUCAGAAAGCAUUAAAUGGUACCAAUGGAAGGGAACUUGUUUCAACUGGACAGAAAUUCUUCUUCUCUGUUGUGUUUUUAUGCAUUGGGGCCAUCUACAGAUGAAGUUAUAAGGCAGUUUUCAUGCAUGAGGACUCAGUGA
Molecule: long non-coding RNA, 290 nt
Filed under: Manacus vitellinus (golden-collared manakin)
Lineage: Eukaryota; Metazoa; Chordata; Aves; Passeriformes; Pipridae
Description: lncRNA (ENSMVIG00005006235.1)
Source: RNAcentral